Notothenia coriiceps (black rockcod) is the source of this 259-nucleotide long non-coding RNA. RefSeq lists it as uncharacterized. NCBI's taxonomy places the organism in Eukaryota, Metazoa, Chordata, Actinopteri, Perciformes, Nototheniidae. The transcript is spliced from 3 exons. The record is from RefSeq and is a predicted model, not a curated record.
CCACCACAGUGUUCACCCCCCUGGAGUACGGCUGUGUGGGUCUCUCUGAGGAAGAGGCUGAGGAGAGGCAUGGGAAAGACGGCAUCGAGGUCUACCAUGCUUUCUACAAGCCUCUGGAGUUCUCUGUUGCAGAGCGCGAUGCCAGCCAGUGUUACUUAAAGGUGGUGUGUGAGCGGGGGGGAGACCAGAAGAUCCUGGGUCUGCACUUCACCGGUCCGAACGCAGGAGAGGUCACACAGGGCUUCGCUUUGGGCCUCCA